UUCAAAAAACUUGACAUUUUGCUGUUGUGUGACUCUGCAAUUCAUGAAAUCCUGAAUCCUGUGAUUCUGAUUCAGUUAAAACUGGCUUAUAGAAUUAUUAUUUUUGUAUUUAGGAAAACAACUUGAUUGAUUGAACGAUUGUCCCCCGAACUAGAUCCCAUUGGAAAAACAGAGAAAUCCAUGCUGGACAUGUGCAGUUCAUGAAAUAACCACAAGGUGGCGGUGUAAACCUGUGGAAAAGUCAGAGCCUCAUCCACAGUUGCUUCACGCACACUCUCAUGACUGUAGCAUCUCUGCAUUUACUCCCCAUGUGCGUGCAACUUACGCUUAUGAAAGCACCUGUUUUCUAUUAGAGCGGUAAUCCAACUCCAGUCCCUCUUAAGGAAGCAGAGGAGAGAUAGAGGUGAAAGGGCCCCGUGCCCGGUGAAGAGCCCUGGCAGCGCUGCAAGCUCGGAUAUUUAGGCUGUAAGAGCACCAGGAGACAGAGUCUCUCAACACAGGAAGCUCUGAGUCCCGUUUUGGGUCGUGGUGAAGAUACAGCAGGUCCACAUCAACACGGAGACACAGGCGGCCUCUGUGACGGCCAGCUGAGUGUCUGGAAUAGAAGUCAUCUAAUUGCGUGGAAAAGAUGGCCACCGACCGCCAGCAAACAAACAGAGUCCCUCUCACCUGUCGCAUGACCUACUUCAUGAUGGAAAAUACCGCUGGGUUGCUCUAAAGCACGUAAUUUUAUGGGCCGAAGCUGGUUUAUUUUAGUUGUACAAUUAGGAACUCAAAAGACACAGUAUCGUAAAUCAGCCUAGAUAUGUAGAAAACGGUCAUAUGUACAGGCCUUUUAGGUCCAUCUUCUCUUUACUUGACAUCACACAUCAAUUCGUCUGCUUUGUAAAGGUUUGUAAAGAAAAUGUGUGAAAACAUAUUCAACCACAAAAUCAAAAUCUAUAGUAAAUCUAUAUAUUGUGCUAUAUAUAUAUAUAUAAAUGUGUUUUUAAAUUUUUUGCAUUGUGUUAAGCAUAUUUUCGCAUUAGUAUGUGAAUGUGUCUGGCUAUUUUUUAAGUUUUGUUGUAUUUAUUUUAUUUUGGGAUUAUCCUUAUUAUCAUUUAAUUCCCUUAUAUAAUUUACAUAACAUAUAAACAUCAAUCUAUCUG
Molecule: long non-coding RNA, 1148 nt
Organism: Megalobrama amblycephala (Wuchang bream)
Lineage: Eukaryota; Metazoa; Chordata; Actinopteri; Cypriniformes; Xenocyprididae
Exons: 3
Source: RefSeq, a predicted model, not a curated record